RNAcentral lists this ribosomal RNA (436 nucleotides) under uncultured eukaryote. RNAcentral describes it as "SSU rRNA". It matches the Rfam family "Archaeal small subunit ribosomal RNA", at positions 458 to 893 of the family's 1478-position model. The record is from RNAcentral.
CCAGCAGCCGCGGUAAUUCCAGCAGUCCAAGUCGCAACCACAAUUAUUGGGUCUAAAACAUUCGUAGCUUGUUAUAUAAGUCUCUUGUGAAAUCUGGCAUCUUAAGUGUCAGGCGGGCAAGAGAUACUGUAUAGCUAGAGACCGGCGGACGUAAGGAGUACACUCAAGGUAGUGGUUAAAUACGUUGAUCUUGAGUGGACUAACAACAGCGAAGGCACCUUACGAUGACGGAUCUGACAGUGAGGAAUGAAGGCUAGGGGCGCAAAAUGGAUUAGAUACCCAUGUAGUCCUAGCAGUAAACACUGCACACUAAACAUUCGUACCUCUUCGAGAGGUAUGGGUGCUGUAGCGAAGGCGAAGAGUGUGCUACCUGGGAAGUAUAGUCGCAAGACCGAAACUUAAAGGAAUUGGCGGGGGAGCACGGGUAUAGUCCGUG